RNAcentral lists this long non-coding RNA (214 nucleotides) under Elaeis guineensis (African oil palm). Its description in RNAcentral is "long non-coding RNA (EGUI_LNC020856)". Lineage: Eukaryota; Viridiplantae; Streptophyta; Magnoliopsida; Arecales; Arecaceae. The record is from RNAcentral.
GUGGCGCAAGGGAGAGAGUCCCAUUCAUUUGGGACUCUAAGAUUUAACCAAUUAGAUUUCUUUCAAACCCAAUCCAAUUAGAUUCAAAUAAAAUAUGAUGAACCUAAUCUAAUUAGGCUCCAAUAAUCUCAAUUAAAUCUGAUCAAAUCAGUAAAUUAAUUGAGUCAUAGAUCCGAUCAAAUUAGGAUCAUUUCUCCCUUAUCGAUUAGGUCAU